Molecule: ribosomal RNA, 501 nt
Filed under: uncultured bacterium
Lineage: Bacteria
Description: partial 16S ribosomal RNA
Rfam family: Bacterial small subunit ribosomal RNA
Source: RNAcentral
AUUGAACGCUGGCGGCAGGCUUAACACAUGCAAGUCGAGCGGAGAUGAGGUGCUUGCACCUUAUCUUAGCGGCGGACGGGUGAGUAAUGCUUAGGAAUCUGCCUAUUAGUGGGGGACAACAUUCCGAAAGGAAUGCUAAUACCGCAUACGUCCUACGGGAGAAAGCAGGGGAUCUUCGGACCUUGCGCUAAUAGAUGAGCCUAAGUCGGAUUAGCUAGUUGGUGGGGUAAAGGCCUACCAAGGCGACGAUCUGUAGCGGGUCUGAGAGGAUGAUCCGCCACACUGGGACUGAGACACGGCCCAGACUCCUCCGGGAGGCAGCAGUGGGGAAUAUUGGGCAAUGGGGGGAACCCUGAUCCAGCCAUGCCGCGUGUGUGAAGAAGGCCUUAUGGUUGUAAAGCACUUUAAGCGAGGAGGAGGCUACUGAGACUAAUACUCUUGGAUAGUGGACGUUACUCGCAGAAUAAGCACCGGCUAACUCUGUGCCAGCCGCCGCAGUAA